AGUAGGGAAUAUUGCGCAAUGCUCGCAAGAGUGACGCAGCGACGCCGCGUGGGCGAUGAAGCUUCUUGGAGUGUAAAGCCCUGUCAGGAGGGACGAAUGAUUGCAGUCGUAACUGGCUGCGAUUUGACGGUACCUUCAGAGGAAGCUCCGGCCAACUCCGUGCCAGCAGCCGCGGUAACACGGGGGGAGCGAGCGUUGUUCGGAAUUACUGGGUGUAAAGGGCUCGUAGGCGGGGAAGAAGGUCGAAUGUGAAAACUCAUGGCUUAACCAUGAGCCUGCAUCCGAAACCACUUCUCUUGAGUAUCGGAGAGGAUAGCGGAACUCCUGGUGUAGCGGUGAAAUGCGUAGAUAUCAGGAGGAACGCCGGUGGCGAAGGCGGCUAUCUGGCCGAAUACUGACGCUCAGGAGCGAAGGCCGGGGGAGCAAACAGGAUUAGAUACCCUGGUAGUCCCGGCAGUAAACGAUGGGUACUAGGUGUUGGAGGGAAUUGACCCCUUCAGUGCCGCAGCUAACGCAUUAAGUACCCCACCUGGGGAGUACGACCGCAAGGUUGAAACUCAAAGGAAUUGACGGGGGCCCGCACAAGCAGUGGAGUAUGUGGUUCAAUUCGACGCAACGCGAAGAACCUUACCUGGGUUUGAAAUGUGUCGGAAAGCCUCAGAGAUGAGGCCCCUCCGCAAGGAGUCGACACAUAGGUGCUGCAUGGCUGUCGUCAGCUCGUGCCGUGAGGUGUUGGGUUAAGUCCCGCAACGAGCGCAACCCCUGUUUCUAGUUACCAGCGGUUCGGCCGGGGACUCUAGAAAGACUGCCGGUGACAAGCCGGAGGAAGGUGGGGAUGACGUCAAGUCCUCAUGGCCCUUAUGUCCAGGGCUACACACGUACUACAAUGGCCGAUACAGAGGGUCGCAAGACCGCGAGGUGGAGCCAAUCCCUAAAAUCGGCCUCAGUUCAGAUUGGAGUCUGCAACUCGACUCCAUGAAGUUGGAAUUGCUAGUAAUCGCGAAUCAGCACGUCGCGGUGAAUACGUUCCCGGGCCUUGUACACACCGCCCGUCAAGCCAUGGAAGCCGGGUGUACCCAAAGUCGUCUUGCUAACCGCAAGGAGGCGGACGCCCAAGGUAAAACCGGUGACUGGGGCU
Molecule: ribosomal RNA, 1138 nt
Filed under: uncultured bacterium
Lineage: Bacteria
Description: bacterial SSU rRNA
Rfam family: Bacterial small subunit ribosomal RNA
Source: RNAcentral